Long non-coding RNA from Centruroides sculpturatus (bark scorpion), 121 nucleotides. RefSeq lists it as uncharacterized. The transcript has 2 exons. Lineage: Eukaryota; Metazoa; Arthropoda; Arachnida; Scorpiones; Buthidae. The record is from RefSeq and is a predicted model, not a curated record.
UUUUCAGAGAAAAAUAAUUUAUCAUUCAUUGAAACAUCUGCUUUGGAUUCUACAAAUGUGGAAGCAGCCUUCCAACAAAUACUAACAGAAAUUUACCGUAUAGUUUCACAAAAGCAGAUCA